Molecule: non-coding RNA, 73 nt
Organism: Ictidomys tridecemlineatus (thirteen-lined ground squirrel)
Lineage: Eukaryota; Metazoa; Chordata; Mammalia; Rodentia; Sciuridae
Source: Rfam
UGGAAUGUAGCUCAGUUGGUACAGUGUUUGCCUUGCAUGCACAAGGCCCUGGGUUCGAUCCCCAGCACUCCCC